RNAcentral lists this ribosomal RNA (466 nucleotides) under uncultured bacterium. RNAcentral's name for it is "partial 16S ribosomal RNA". It matches the Rfam family "Bacterial small subunit ribosomal RNA", at positions 28 to 507 of the family's 1533-position model. The record is from RNAcentral.
GACGAACACUGGCGGCGCGCCUAACACAUGCAAGUCGAACGAGCGAGAGAGAGCUUGCUUUCUUGAGCGAGUGGCGAACGGGUGAGUAACGCGUGAGGAACCUGCCUCAAAGAGGGGGACAACAGUUGGAAACGACUGCUAAUACCGCAUAAGCCCACGGUGCCGCAUGGCACAGAGGGAAAAGGAGCAAUCCGCUUUGAGAUGGCCUCGCGUCCGAUUAGCUAGUUGGUGAGGUAACGGCCCACCAAGGCGACGAUCGGUAGCCGGACUGAGAGGUUGAACGGCCACAUUGGGACUGAGACACGGCCCAGACUCCUACGGGAGGGAGCAGUGGGGAAUAUUGCACAAUGGGGGAAACCCUGAUGCAGCGACGCCGCGUGGAGGAAGAAGGUCUUCGGAUUGUAAACUCCUGUUGUUGGGGAAGAUAAUGACGGUACCCAACAAGGAAGUGACGGCUAACUACGUG